GAUGAUGCAAAUCAACUAUUAAAACUAGAAAUUAUCUAAAACUUUUGUUAGAACAGUAUUUUCGGAUUUUCUACUGGCUCUUUUUUGGCAGAAUCUCAGAUCUAAAAGAGAAUUUGAACUAUAAGAGUUCAGAUUUUUGAACUUCUUUUGAUUUGAAAUUCAAAUUUUAGACUCAGAUUUGCAGAGAUGGUUUUUUCGGGGGGAAUUUUUG
RNAcentral lists this long non-coding RNA (211 nucleotides) under Nicotiana benthamiana. RNAcentral describes it as "long non-coding RNA (NBEN_LNC032119)". The record is from RNAcentral. Lineage: Eukaryota; Viridiplantae; Streptophyta; Magnoliopsida; Solanales; Solanaceae.